AGGAUGAACGCUGGCGGUAUGCUUAACACAUGCAAGUCGAACGGAGUGCUUCGGCACUUAGUGGCGGACGGGUGAGUAACGCGUGAGGAUCUGCCUACAGGUCUGGGACAACAGAGGGAAACUUCUGCUAAUACCGGAUGUGCCGAGAGGUGAAAGCUUUAGUGCCUGUAGAUGAGCUUGCGUCUGAUUAGCUAGUUGGUUAGGUAACGGCUGACCAAGGCGACGAUCAGUAGCUGGUCUGAGAGGAUGAUCAGCCACACUGGGACUGAGACACGGCCCAGACUCCUACGGGAGGCAGCAGUGGGGAAUUUUCCGCAAUGGGGGCAACCCUGACGGAGCAAUACCGCGUGAGGGACGAAGGUUUUUGGAUUGUAAACCUCUUUUCUCAGGGAAGAACACAAUGACGGUACCUGAGGAAUAAGCAUCGGCUAACUCCGUGCCAGCAGCCGCGGUAAUACGGAGGAUGCAAGCGUUAUCCGGAAUUAUUGGGCGUAAAGCGUCCGCAGGUGGUUAUUCAAGUCUGCUGUUAAAGCGCGAGGCUCAACUUCGUACGGGCAGUGGAAACUGAAUGACUAGAGUACGGUAGGGGUAGCGGGAAUUCCCAGUGUAGCGGUGAAAUGCGUAGAUAUUGGGAAGAACACCAGCGGCGAAAGCGCGCUACUGGGCCGAAACUGACACUGAGGGACGAAAGCUAGGGGAGCGAAAGGGAUUAGAUACCCCUGUAGUCCUAGCUGUAAACGAUGGACACUAGGUGUUGCGCGUAUCGACCCGUGCAGUGCCGUAGCCAACGCGUUAAGUGUCC
This 802-nucleotide ribosomal RNA is filed under the name uncultured bacterium. RNAcentral's name for it is "bacterial SSU rRNA". It matches the Rfam family "Bacterial small subunit ribosomal RNA", at positions 26 to 869 of the family's 1533-position model. The record is from RNAcentral.